UACAGAGGUCUCGAGCGUUAGGCGGAAUCCCUGGGCUUAAAGCGUGUGUAGGCGGAUCGUUAAGUGCCUUGUGAAAUCCCACGGCUUAACCGUGGAACUGCUUGGCAUACUGGCGGUCUUGAGCAACCUAGGGGCGAGCGGAACAAAUGGUGGAGCGGUGAAAUGCGUAGAUAUCAUUUGGAACGCCAAUGGUGAAAACAGCUCGCUGGGGGUUUGCUGACGCUGAGACACGAAAGCCAGGGGAGCAAACGGG
RNAcentral lists this ribosomal RNA (253 nucleotides) under uncultured bacterium. Its description in RNAcentral is "partial 16S ribosomal RNA". It matches the Rfam family "Bacterial small subunit ribosomal RNA", at positions 524 to 776 of the family's 1533-position model. The record is from RNAcentral.